RNAcentral lists this ribosomal RNA (1581 nucleotides) under Salmonella enterica subsp. enterica serovar Enteritidis. RNAcentral's name for it is "partial 23S ribosomal RNA". It matches the Rfam family "Bacterial large subunit ribosomal RNA", at positions 1 to 1616 of the family's 2925-position model. Lineage: Bacteria; Pseudomonadati; Pseudomonadota; Gammaproteobacteria; Enterobacterales; Enterobacteriaceae. The record is from RNAcentral.
GGGUUGUGAGGUUAAGCGACUAAGCGUACACGGUGGAUGCCCUGGCAGUCAGAGGCGAUGAAGGGCGUGCUAAUCUGCGAUAAGCGCCGGUAAGGUGAUAUGAACCGUUAUAACCGGCGAUACCCGAAUGGGGAAACCCAGUGUGACUCGUCACACUAUCAUUAACUGAAUCCAUAGGUUAAUGAGGCGAACCGGGGGAACUGAAACAUCUAAGUACCCCGAGGAAAAGAAAUCAACCGAGAUUCCCCCAGUAGCGGCGAGCGAACGGGGAGGAGCCCAGAGCCUGAAUCAGCAUGUGUGUUAGUGGAAGCGUCUGGAAAGGCGCGCGAUACAGGGUGACAGCCCCGUACACAAAAGCGCAUGUGCUGUGAGCUCGAUGAGUAGGGCGGGACACGUGGUAUCCUGUCUGAAUAUGGGGGGACCAUCCUCCAAGGCUAAAUACUCCUGACUGACCGAUAGUGAACCAGUACCGUGAGGGAAAGGCGAAAAGAACCCCGGCGAGGGGAGUGAAAAAGAACCUGAAACCGUGUACGUACAAGCAGUGGGAGCACCCUUUGGGUGUGACUGCGUACCUUUUGUAUAAUGGGUCAGCGACUUAUAUUCUGUAGCAAGGUUAACCGAAUAGGGGAGCCGGAGGGAAACCGAGUCUUAACCGGGCGUUAAGUUGCAGGGUAUAGACCCGAAACCCGGUGAUCUAGCCAUGGGCAGGUUGAAGGUUGGGUAACACUAACUGGAGGACCGAACCGACUAAUGUUGAAAAAUUAGCGGAUGACCUGUGGCUGGGGGUGAAAGGCCAAUCAAACCGGGAGAUAGCUGGUUCUCCCCGAAAGCUAUUUAGGUAGCGCCUCGUGAAUUCAUCUCCGGGGGUAGAGCACUGUUUCGGCUAGGGGGCCAUCCCGGCUUACCAACCCGAUGCAAACUGCGAAUACCGGAGAAUGUUAUCACGGGAGACACACGGCGGGUGCUAACGUCCGUCGUGAAGAGGGAAACAACCCAGACCGCCAGCUAAGGUCCCAAAGUCAUGGUUAAGUGGGAAACGAUGUGGGAAGGCCCAGACAGCCAGGAUGUUGGCUUAGAAGCAGCCAUCAUUUAAAGAAAGCGUAAUAGCUCACUGGUCGAGUCGGCCUGCGCGGAAGAUGUAACGGGGCUAAACCAUGCACCGAAGCUGCGGCAGCGACACUGUGUGUUGUUGGGUAGGGGAGCGUUCUGUAAGCCUGUGAAGGUGUGUCGUGAGGCAUGCUGGAGGUAUCAGAAGUGCGAAUGCUGACAUAAGUAACGAUAAAGCGGGUGAAAAGCCCGCUCGCCGGAAGACCAAGGGUUCCUGUCCAACGUUAAUCGGGGCAGGGUGAGUCGACCCCUAAGGCGAGGCCGAAAGGCGUAGUCGAUGGGAAACGGGUUAAUAUUCCCGUACUUGGUGUUACUGCGAAGGGGGGACGGAGAAGGCUAUGUUGGCCGGGCGACGGUUGUCCCGGUUUAAGCGUGUAGGUGUGUGUUCCAGGUAAAUCCGGUUCACUUUAACACUGAGGCGUGACGACGAGGCACUACGGUGCUGAAGCAACAAAUGCCCUGCUUCCAGGAAAA